AUCAAGAUUAGAGGCUCUGCUCUCCGUGUUCACAGCGGACCUUGAUUUAAUGUCAUACAAUUAAGGCACGCGGUGAAUGCCAAGAGCGGAGCCUACGGCUGCACUUGAAGGACACCAAAGCAUCUCAGGGUCAGAAAGGGGAAAAAGCAAUUGCAGGGAAUUUAGGGGGUAGUAAAAGGAACCCAUCUCUUGCCGCAUAAAUGCCCCCCACCCCCACCCAGGACUGAUUCUGGAAGCAACCUAGUGUUCGAAAGGGAAAGGCUCCUACUUUUCCAUUACAGCCGCGGAAAUCCGCAGGCAAAUCUCCGAGGAGAAUUUUAGGGAAGCUUCAUUGACAGCUGUCUGGAGAGCAGUAGUUCCCGCCUGUGCAAAUAUUCCAGAGAGUUAAAUCAUUUAGAAAGCACUAGUUCUUUCAAGAACAGGUAGUGUGAUUGUCUGCAGUCCUGGGCCAAGCUGGGAAAACAAAACAGCAGAGAGAGGUGUAACAUUAAAUAGCGUCCUGACCACACUGCGCAAGAAACAGCAAAUGAAACGUCCAAACUUUGGAAAGAUCUGAAGAACACUUGCCGCCCGCAUUUCCCCUUGACUUCUCCCUUUUUCUUCCCAAUCUCGAGGCGUUCAUGCCUGGCUUUAAGACGCCAAGAUAACUCUCUUGUUUUGGCAUUGUCGCAAUGUCCAAAUCGGUCAAAGGAGUGGGAUAAGGUGAAAGGACCAGGUCAGAAACUUUAGAAGGACUCGGUAAAUUAAUUUGUUUGGAAGCCAGUGAGGUGGACUAUGUUGAGGUAGCAGUUCCGCACCACGACUUUGGAGCCAAAGAAAAACCCAGGCCGAAAAAGCGAGCCUUGAUGUCUUUGUUCUGCCUUGGCCUGCAGGGGUUGGGAACAAAGGAGAGGAGCUAAGAGGAUGCACCAAAGUAGCCGCGCCCUCCCUGCCUGGCGCUGUCCGCGGUGCUGACCGUGGCCCUUUUCUCUCUCCGUAAUCAAACUGGAAAAGCAAUAGGACCGUCCCGUCCCUACUCAAAAGAAGAGUAGGAUAUUAGGUAAUUUGAAAAAUAACAUUUAAAAAGAGAAAAAGGUCACAUACAGCAAAACAAUAUUUUACUGAAAUCGUUCCCUCAAGCUGGUUGCUACCCUUGCCUGACACUUUUUGGUCUUCACGUAGGAAUGCACACAUACAUACAUUGUAAGUGUAUGGGGAAACCAUUUCCACUUUAUUUAGGCUGAAACCUAAAUCGCAGGAUUGCAAGAAGGAAAUUGAGGAGAAUGAAGGCUUUAUUAUUAUCCUUUUCUUUCUUAAAUCAUCUUCCUUAAAACAGAAACAUAAGGUCCUCAGCCGCGGAUUUUAGUGCUUACUUGGUCACCAAAGGGACGUGCAAUGGACUCAAGUGUGGGCCUCGAGGCUUAACUAGGAAGGGGUGGGUCGGGGACCCACCAGGUGAAACAGGGCAGGAGCCCAUGCAGCUUGCCACCUUCGGCCAGGCCUUGCAGCCCGGCAGCCUUAGUAGACGGGUACAGAGGGCUGAGCUCUGCAGACCGCUCUGCUGCGCAGGAGCCUGCUCGGCGCAUCCCAGCCGGCGGGAGGCACUGGAGGGCCAGGAGGCCUGAAACCCGCACUGCGGAAAAACCGACCUCAGCCACAUCCUCAUAGCUCACGCGACGGAAAGAGGCAGGGCGGUUUACUAAAUCUUAUGCAGUGAAAAUUCGCCUUAGAAAUCGAAGGUUGGAUGAGUCAGUAUUGAUAUAUUCAAAAAUCUAAAUUUCUUAGCAUAUUUCAUCGUUCUUAGAUGUUGAAAGUAUUAAAUGUAAACAAUACAAAUUUAAAUUCCCUAAGUAAUGAAUCAAAAUGGCAAGGGAGAGAGAGAGAGAGAGAGACGGAAAAUCAACCAAUUCGUAGCCACCCUGGCUGGCUAUUUCUCAAAAGAAAUUUCUAUGCAUUUGCUUGAGUUUGUCUAUAAAUUCACAAACAUAAAGGGUGUUAAAAUUAGUAACAGACAAAAUAAUUCAGGUUGGACAAUAGAGACAGCAACACCGAUUUUGAUCCAGGUAUAACAAUGGGCCAUGCAUUGACAAUGACCUAAAAGACAUGUGUUCAUUAAGUUAUUUUUUUUACACGGGAUGUAGAUGUAUCAUAAAAUUCAUGAAAUAAAGCGGCCAGGUGCAAUAUCCUCAGAGAGCUGCCUUCUCACCCCCUGCCUCAGGGCGGAUUUUAUCUGUCCUCGAAUUUUAGAACUCUGCAAGUCGGGUCUUUCACAUUCAUCGAUUACUUUGGUUUAUAUUUAAUUUUAUCCAAUUUCGGAGUGGGUGGGUAAAGCACACUGGAAAAUAGGGGCUGCUCGAAUUACAAAAUUUAAGGAUUGGGAAUAUUCCUCUUGUGCCAAUUAAAAGCAGUCGUUGGAAGCAGAAAUGAAUUUAAAGCAUUACACGUUAUCAUGGCGGCCUUGCUUUUUCCUUCCAGUAUUCAUCCAAUUGCGCUGAUCUCCUGCAUCCACAUCUUGCGUAAUCCACAAAGCAGCUAUGGUCCAGGGCUGCAAAAUCGUCCUGCCUGAUUCCUUUAGAAUUCAUACUACCUCAGAGGAGCAAACCUAAUCCCCUCAGCCUAAUCCUACCUGUUUAGGAUCAUCUAAACUUGUCCUUCAGAAAGCUUGAUCAGUUUAAAAUUGCUUUCUAAAUAGAAAUGAAAUACGUGAUAUGAGAGAGGUUAAAAUACUGCUUAAAAAGGGAAACACUCAAUUUAGUAAUUCGGUUGCCUAGAUGAAAUCGAGUGGCUAUUGAUCCGUGAUGUUUCUAGAUUUUUAAGACUAUGUACUUCCUAUUUCUUUGGAAAAUAAUCAUCCAGUUUGAUGCCCAUUACAAAUUUUCCUGCUAUGAAAGAAAUUCUAUGCGCGGCAGUUUUGCAAUAAAACAACCCGGGCUUCGCAAUGGGAGAACUUCGGUGCGGCGUGCCGUGAGAGUCCUUUGACAAUCUCAGCUUUCAUCUAGGUCUGAAAUUAAAGCUUCUCGGAAUAAUUUAGGAACAGCUUGACCCGUUGAGAUACUCAAGGACAACCCUCCAGGGAAAUAGUAUGUUUCCUUCCUGGGAACAAGAUGCUAGCGCGGUGCACCGGGAGGUAUCUGGUGUCAACAAUGCCAGAGCGCCCUCUGCUGCCUCAAAGAGGCAGGACACCAGUUACAAAAGCCAGAUGGCACAGUGGCAAUAAGCGGAGGAAACAUUAAGCUCUUAGAAACGUUUAAUCUGUGAAAUUUAAAAGCUCUCAUCAUAUUCUACUUUUGAAAGGGCCACCUGAUUUUGAUUUUGAGCACUCCUUGGAUGUUAUCUUCUAUUCUGGAGGAUAAUGAAAAGUCCGUGUUUUGAAGUUUUCAGAUUAUUUCUGUAGUUAUAUUUCUCCACUCUUUCUCGAAUUUUAUAUGGAAAUACGAAAUUGCAAAUCUAAGUGAAAAACCUUUGUGUAAAACAGGUGAGUGGAGAAGACGUCCUGGUUUCUCCAAAUAACUAAGAUCUAAUAAAGAAACAAAUCUUAAUU
This 3520-nucleotide long non-coding RNA is filed under the name Homo sapiens (human). RNAcentral describes it as "non-protein coding MIR124-2HG:15". The stretch from base 18 to 88 matches the Rfam family "mir-124 microRNA precursor family". Lineage: Eukaryota; Metazoa; Chordata; Mammalia; Primates; Hominidae. The record is from RNAcentral.